GAACACAAAAGAAGAAGACCAAUGAAUGACACCGACGCAGAUUGAUCGUGUGAAGUUAUGUUUAAGUCUUUGAUUUCAGAACUGUAAUCUGUCUGUUUCAUACAUUCGAAAGCUGUCUUUUAUUCAGCAGCUUUGCACCAUCACAAUCUUGCCAAUUCAUAUUCCCCUAAAAGCAUGUGGGUUUACUUGAGUUGUAAAUACAGUUUCCUACAAACUAUGUACUUUAGAAAAAUUGUAUUCCAGUAAAGUAAAUCUUUCCCAAACUUACAAAUGAUGUGCAAUUACUCUAGUACUUUACACCCCUGGACUUCAGCUAUCAAAAGAGACUAGGCAAAUCUUUCAGGAGAUGUAUCAAGUGGUGUCAGGAAGGGUUUCAGAGACCCAGGAGCUGCUGAAGAAGCAUUUCGACCAAAUCUUCUACACUGGGAGCAGCGUGGCAAGGAAACCUAUUGGCUCUGUUUUUUCCUCUGUUAAAACUUUGUAUUAUUAUUAUUAACGAUUUUUGGAAGGCAAAAUAAAAGAAAGAUUUAA
Carassius gibelio (silver crucian carp) is the source of this 531-nucleotide long non-coding RNA. RefSeq lists it as uncharacterized. The record is from RefSeq and is a predicted model, not a curated record. Lineage: Eukaryota; Metazoa; Chordata; Actinopteri; Cypriniformes; Cyprinidae. The transcript is spliced from 2 exons.